RNAcentral lists this long non-coding RNA (616 nucleotides) under Ananas comosus (pineapple). RNAcentral's name for it is "long non-coding RNA (ACOM_LNC018738)". Lineage: Eukaryota; Viridiplantae; Streptophyta; Magnoliopsida; Poales; Bromeliaceae. The record is from RNAcentral.
CCACACCAUAUAUGUUUCAUUAUAUAUAUUUUAUAACAUUAUAUAUAUUUGAACCAUGCCUUCUUCUCACUACAACAGAAUUAGGUUAUAGGGACACAUGUUUGGGACACUUUUGAGUAAGUGUUCAAUUUAUGCUAAAACUUAAAAAAACAUCCACUAAUGCCUAAAUGUAAAGUCCAAUCCAACCAAAAAUAAAAGAUUACUCUACUCAACCCACCACACCCAGUCUAUUUGGCCCGAUUACAAACAGAAAAGAAAAAAAAAAAAAAGAAAAAUCAAUUACCAUCUUUUCUUCUCUCUUCACUCAAUCCACUGAAAUUUUAGACGAAGAGCAUUUCCUGUCGUCCUCCUCCGCCACCGCAGCCAACGAGAUAGAGUUUCGGCGGUUGCUAAAUGCUUAAAUAAAUGUUGGUAAAUUAGCAACACUCUUUUAGGUUAUAGCGACACUCUUUAACUGUCACUAUAUACCUAGCGACCCCACAUAUAGUAACACUUUUUAAAAGUGUCGGUAAUUUUAGCUAGCAGUACUUUUUUGACAUGUACCUAUAUUUAAAAGUGUCGCUAUAGACUUUUUUUAUUUAGUGUCUACACUUAUGUAUAUGCAUGCUUUUCUACA